ACCAAUUCUGGGGGAUGAACUGUUCCUCUUGGCAUAAUGGCUUGGGCGCUAGAUCAGCAUUGUGGCACUAUCCUGAUCGGUGGCUGUGUUCUCAGUGCCAUUGGAUCCUGGAAACGCCUCAUACAUUC
Molecule: non-coding RNA, 128 nt
Organism: Eucalyptus grandis
Lineage: Eukaryota; Viridiplantae; Streptophyta; Magnoliopsida; Myrtales; Myrtaceae
Source: Rfam